GACGAACCGAGCGAACGUUGUUCGGAAUCACUGGGCUUAAAGGGCGCGUAGGCGGGUGCUCAAGUCCGUGGUGAAAUCCUCCGGCUCAACCGGAGAACUGCCUCGGAUACUGGGUGCCUCGAGGGUGGUAGGGGUAUGCGGAACUAUCGGUGGAGCGGUGAAAUGCGUAGAUAUCGGAAGGAACGCCGGUGGCGAAAGCGGCGGACUGGACCUCUUCUGACGCUGAGGCGCGAAAGCCAGGGGAGCAAACGGG
Molecule: ribosomal RNA, 253 nt
Filed under: uncultured bacterium
Lineage: Bacteria
Description: partial 16S ribosomal RNA
Rfam family: Bacterial small subunit ribosomal RNA
Source: RNAcentral